This 253-nucleotide ribosomal RNA is filed under the name uncultured bacterium. Its description in RNAcentral is "partial 16S ribosomal RNA". It matches the Rfam family "Bacterial small subunit ribosomal RNA", at positions 524 to 776 of the family's 1533-position model. The record is from RNAcentral.
UACGUAGGGUGCAAGCGUUGUCCGGAAUUAUUGGGCGUAAAGAGCUCGUAGGCGGUCUGUUACGUCGGCUGUGAAAACCUGGGGCUCAACCCCGGGCCUGCAGCCGAUACGGGCAGACUAGAAUUCGGUAGGGGAGACUGGAAUUCCUGGUGUAGCGGUGAAAUGCGCAGAUAUCAGGAGGAACACCGGUGGCGAAGGCGGCUCACUGGACAUGUAUUGACGCUGAGGUGCGAAAGCGUGGGGAGCGAACAGG